GUCACCUUCGGGUACCUCAUGUAAAAUUGAAGAUACAAAGAAGAUUAGCAUGACUUCUACACAAGGAUGAAAAGCUCAAAUUGAGAAUUUGUCCAACUUUUU
Arabidopsis thaliana (thale cress) is the source of this 102-nucleotide small nuclear RNA. NCBI's taxonomy places the organism in Eukaryota, Viridiplantae, Streptophyta, Magnoliopsida, Brassicales, Brassicaceae. The record is from Rfam.